GACGAACGCUGGCGGCGUGCUUAACACAUGCAAGUCGAACGGUGAAGGGACUGGUUUUGCUGGUCCUGGAUGAGUGGCGAACGGGUGAGUAACACGUGAGUAACCUGCCCCCUUCUUCUGGAUAACCGCAUGAAAGUGUGGCUAAUACGGGAUAUUCUGGGUCUGUCGCAUGGUGGGCCUGGGAAAGAUUGCGCCUUUUUUGGUGUUUUUGGUGGGGGAUGGGCUCGCGGCCUAUCAGCUUGUUGGUGGGGUGAUGGCCUACCAAGGCGGUGACGGGUAGCCGGCCUGAGAGGGUGGACGGUCACACUGGGACUGAGACACGGCCCAGACUCCUACGGGAGGCAGCAGUGGGGAAUAUUGCACAAUGGGCGCAAGCCUGAUGCAGCGACGCCGCGUGAGGGAUGGAGGCCUUCGGGUUGUGAACUUCUUUCGCCAGUGAAGCAGGCCUGCCUCUUUUUGUGAGUGGGUUGACGGUAGCUGGAUAAGAAGCGCCGGCUAACUACGUG
Molecule: ribosomal RNA, 506 nt
Filed under: uncultured bacterium
Lineage: Bacteria
Description: partial 16S ribosomal RNA
Rfam family: Bacterial small subunit ribosomal RNA
Source: RNAcentral